This 475-nucleotide ribosomal RNA is filed under the name uncultured cyanobacterium. RNAcentral describes it as "bacterial SSU rRNA". It matches the Rfam family "Bacterial small subunit ribosomal RNA", at positions 1 to 524 of the family's 1533-position model. The record is from RNAcentral. Lineage: Bacteria; Bacillati; Cyanobacteriota.
UAGAGUUUGAUUCUGGCUCAGGAUGAACGCUGGCGGUAUGCUUAACACAUGCAAGUCGAACGGAGUUCUUCGGAACUUAGUGGCGGACGGGUGAGUAACCCGUGAGAAUCUGGCAAAAGGUUCGGGACAACAGUUGGAAACGGCUGCUAAUCCCGGAUGUGCCUGUGGGUGAAAGAUUAAUCGCCUUUUGAUGAGCUCGCGUCUGAUUAGCUAGUAGGUGUGGUAAGAGCGCACCUAGGCGACGAUCAGUAGCUGGUCUGAGAGGAUGACCAGCCACACUGGGACUGAGACACGGCCCAGACUCCUACGGGAGGCAGCAGUGGGGAAUUUUCCGCAAUGGGCGAAAGCCUGACGGAGCAAUACCGCGUGAGGGAGGAAGGCUCUUGGGUUGUAAACCUCUUUUCUCAGGGAAUAAGAAAGUGAAGGUACCUGAGGAAUCAGCAUCGGCUAACUCCGUGCCAGCAGCCGCGGUAAU